This 909-nucleotide ribosomal RNA is filed under the name uncultured bacterium. RNAcentral's name for it is "bacterial SSU rRNA". It matches the Rfam family "Bacterial small subunit ribosomal RNA", at positions 8 to 916 of the family's 1533-position model. The record is from RNAcentral.
AGAGUUUGAUCCUGGCUCAGAGCGAACGCUGGCGGCGUGCUUAACACAUGCAAGUCGAGUGCGCGUUUCCGUAGCAAUACGGAAAUGGCGCACGGCGCACGGGUGCGUAACACGUGGGCAAUCUGCCCUUCGAUGGGGAAUAACCUCGCGAAAGCGAGGCUAAUUCCGCAUAACAUUCCGAUGACUAACGUCAAUGGAUUCAAAGCCGUAAGGCGUCGAAGGAGGAGCCCGCGCACGAUUAGCUAGUUGGUGAGGUAACGGCUCACCAAGGCUAUGAUCGUUAGCUGGUCUGAGAGGAUGGCCAGCCACACUGGAACUGAGACACGGUCCAGACUCCUACGGGAGGCAGCAGUGGGGAAUCUUGCACAAUGGGCGAAAGCCUGAUGCAGCGACGCCGCGUGGGGGAUGAAGCUUUUCGGAGUGUAAACCCCUUUCGACCCGGACGAAUGCCCCGCAAGGGGACUGACGGUACGGGUAUAAGAAGCCCCGGCUAACUACGUGCCAGCAGCCGCGGUAAGACGUAGGGGGCCAGCGUUGCUCGGAAUUACUGGGUGUAAAGGGUUCGUAGGCGGUGCGGCAAGUCGGGAGUGAAAUCUCUGGGCUCAACCCAGAGGCUGCUUCCGAAACUGCUGUGCUUGAGUGUGGGAGAGGCGCGUGGAAUUGCAGGUGUAGCGGUGAAAUGCGUAGAUAUCUGCAGGAACACCCGUGGCGAAAACGGCGCGCUGGACCACAACUGACGCUGAGGAACGAAAGCUAGGGGAGCAAACAGGAUUAGAUACCCUGGUAGUCCUAGCCCUAAACGAUCAGGACUUGGGGUGCUUCACGUUCGUGGAGCGUCCCGGAGCUAACGCGUUAAGUCCUGCACCUGGGGAGUACGGUCGCAAGACUGAAACUCAAAGGAAUUGACGG